CCGUCCCUGCGCUGUUGGUGAUGCCGGAGGGAAGUUUCAACCUCAUUCACCCAACGGGAGCCGUACGCGAGAGUGGUGUGCAAGCCCCUCGUUGAAGGGGAAGCCUGAAGCUCUCCAAUCAACGGCACCCACCUGGUUAAGCCAGGUUCGAAACACUUUCGGCACACGGCAGAGGUGGGGACCUU
RNAcentral lists this non-coding RNA (185 nucleotides) under Candidatus Rokuibacteriota bacterium. Its description in RNAcentral is "Candidatus Rokubacteria bacterium 6S RNA". It matches the Rfam family "6S / SsrS RNA". Rfam says of the family: E. coli 6S RNA was the first non coding RNA to be sequenced, but its function was unknown until recently. It consists of 184 nucleotides that fold into an extended hairpin structure with a large single-stranded internal bulge. Lineage: Bacteria; Candidatus Rokuibacteriota. The record is from RNAcentral.